This 254-nucleotide ribosomal RNA is filed under the name uncultured bacterium. RNAcentral's name for it is "partial 16S ribosomal RNA". It matches the Rfam family "Bacterial small subunit ribosomal RNA", at positions 524 to 776 of the family's 1533-position model. The record is from RNAcentral.
UACAGAGGUUACAAGCGUUAUCCGGAUUUAUUGGGCGUAAAGCGUUUCGUAGGUGAUUUGUUAAGUUGCUCUUCAAAUACCGAGGCUCAACCUCGGGAAGGGGAGUAAGACUGACAGAAUUGAAUAGUGGUGGGGCUUCUGGAACUGGUGGUGUAGUAGUGAAAUACGUUGAUAUCAUCAGGAACUCCAAGGGCGAAGGCAGGAAGCUAACCAUUUAUUGACACUGAGGAACGACAGCUAGGGUAGCGAAAGGG